UUUUUAUGAGAGUUUGAUCCUGGCUCAGGACGAACGCUGGCGGCGUGCCUAAUACAUGCAAGUCGAACGCUUCUUUUUCCACCGGAGCUUGCUCCACCGGAAAAAGAG
Molecule: ribosomal RNA, 108 nt
Filed under: Enterococcus faecium
Lineage: Bacteria; Bacillati; Bacillota; Bacilli; Lactobacillales; Enterococcaceae
Also listed under: 1 other name
Description: partial 16S ribosomal RNA
Rfam family: Bacterial small subunit ribosomal RNA
Source: RNAcentral